UACUGGCGUUCCUUCUCUUUCCUCUCAAGCUAGCUUUCGUCAUUCAUCAAUUCGUGUUUUUGGUGAUAUUAAAGUGGAAAUUUGUUGGACAACCGCAAGCUUGACACAAUUUGCAUUGAUUUUCUUCUCUAAAUCCUCAGUUGUUAGCACAUUCACAAUUGAUUAUUAGUUGUAUUAGAGAACUUGUAAAUGUUGUAAUGUAAUUUUUUUCUUUAUGAAUUCAGUUACUUCGUAUUAUUGUAAUUGAAAUACAUGUAUUUUAAAGUUA
Chenopodium quinoa (quinoa) is the source of this 268-nucleotide long non-coding RNA. RefSeq lists it as uncharacterized. The transcript has 2 exons. The record is from RefSeq and is a predicted model, not a curated record. NCBI's taxonomy places the organism in Eukaryota, Viridiplantae, Streptophyta, Magnoliopsida, Caryophyllales, Amaranthaceae.